GACGAACGCUGGCGGCGUGCCUAAUACAUGCAAGUAGAACGCUGAAGAGAGGAGCUUGCUCUUCUUGGAUGAGUUGCGAACGGGUGAGUAACGCGUAGGUAACCUGCCUUGUAGCGGGGGAUAACUAUUGGAAACGAUAGCUAAUACCGCAUAACAAUGAAUGACACAUGUCAUUUAUUUGAAAGGGGCAAUUGCUCCACUACAAGAUGGACCUGCGUUGUAUUAGCUAGUAGGUGAGGUAAUGGCUCACCUAGGCGACGAUACAUAGCCGACCUGAGAGGGUGAUCGGCCACACUGGGACUGAGACACGGCCCAGACUCCUACGGGAGGCAGCAGUAGGGAAUCUUCGGCAAUGGGGGCAACCCUGACCGAGCAACGCCGCGUGAGUGAAGAAGGUUUUCGGAUCGUAAAGCUCUGUUGUAAGUCAAGAACGGGUGUGAGAGUGGAAAGUUCACACUGUGACGGUAGCUUACCAGAAAGGGACGGCUAACUACGUG
This 497-nucleotide ribosomal RNA is filed under the name uncultured bacterium. RNAcentral's name for it is "partial 16S ribosomal RNA". It matches the Rfam family "Bacterial small subunit ribosomal RNA", at positions 28 to 507 of the family's 1533-position model. The record is from RNAcentral.